CCUACGGGAGGCAGCAGUAGGGAAUAUUGCUCAAUGGGGGAAACCCUGAAGCAGCAACGCCGCGUGGAGGAUGACGGUUCUCGGAUUGUAAACCCCUUUUGUUAGAGAAGAUAAUGACGGUAUCUAACGAAUAAGCACCGGCUAACUCCGUGCCAGCAGCCGCGGUAAUACGGAGGGUGCAAGCGUUACUCGGAAUCACUGGGCGUAAAGAGCGCGUAGGCGGGAUAGCAAGUCAGAUGUGAAAUCCUAUGGCUUAACCAUAGAACUGCAUUUGAAACUGUUAUUCUAGAGUAUGGGAGAGGUAGGUGGAAUGCUUGGUGUAGGGGUAAAAUCCGUAGAGAUCAAGAAGAAUACUCAUUGCGAAGGCGGCCUGCUGGAACAUAACUGACGCUGAUGCGCGAAAGCGUGGGGAGCAAACAGGAUUAGAUACCCCAGUAGUC
This 440-nucleotide ribosomal RNA is filed under the name uncultured bacterium. RNAcentral's name for it is "partial 16S ribosomal RNA". It matches the Rfam family "Bacterial small subunit ribosomal RNA", at positions 338 to 795 of the family's 1533-position model. The record is from RNAcentral.